This 492-nucleotide ribosomal RNA is filed under the name uncultured bacterium. Its description in RNAcentral is "partial 16S ribosomal RNA". It matches the Rfam family "Bacterial small subunit ribosomal RNA", at positions 29 to 507 of the family's 1533-position model. The record is from RNAcentral.
AGUGAACGCUGGCGGUAGGCCUAACACAUGCAAGUCGAACGGCAGCACAGUAAGAGCUUGCUCUUACGGGUGGCGAGUGGCGGACGGGUGAGGAAUACAUCGGAAUCUACUUUUUCGUGGGGGAUAACGUAGGUAAACUUACGCUAAUACCGCAUACGACCUACGGGUGAAAGCAGGGGAUCUUCUGACCUUGCGCGAUUGAAUGAGCCGAUGUCGGAUUAGCUAGUUGGCGGGGUAAAGGCCCACCAAGGCGAGGAUCCGUAGCCGGUCUGAGAGGAUGAUCAGCCACACUGGAACGGAGACACGGUCCAGACGCCUACGGGAGGCAGCAGUGGGGAAUAUUGGACAAUGGGCGCAAGCCUGAUCCAGCCAUACCGCGUGGGUGAAGAAGGCCUUCGGGUUGUAAAGCCCUUUUGUUGGGAAAGAAAAGCAGCAGGUUAAGACCCCGCUGUUCUGACGGUACCCAAAGAAUAAGCACCGGCUAACUUCGUG